GCGACCGUAGCUCAGUUGGCAGAGAGCGGUGGAACGGUGAUCCACAGUCCCGGGUUCAAGUCAAGGCGGUCGCU
This is a non-coding RNA of Phthorimaea operculella (potato tuberworm), 74 nucleotides long. The record is from the annotation of a GenBank genome assembly. NCBI's taxonomy places the organism in Eukaryota, Metazoa, Arthropoda, Insecta, Lepidoptera, Gelechiidae.